AGUGAACGCUGGCGGUAGGCCUAACACAUGCAAGUCGAACGGCAGCACAGUAAGAGCUUGCUCUUACGGGUGGCGAGUGGCGGACGGGUGAGGCAUACAUCGGAAUCUACUUUUUCGUGGGGGAUAACGUAGGGAAACUUACGCUAAUACCGCAUACGACCUACGGGUGAAAGCAGGGGUUCUUCGGACCUUGCGCGAUUCAAUGAGCCGAUGUCGGAUUAGCUAGUUGGCGGGGUAAAGGCCCACCAAGGCGACGAUCCGUAGCUGGUCUGAGAGGAUGAUCAGCCACACUGGAACUGAGACACGGUCCAGACUCCUACGGGAGGCAGCAGUAGGGAAUAUUGGACAAUGGGCGCAAGCCUGAUCCAGCCAUACCGCGUGAGUGAAGAAGGCCUUCGGGUUGUAAAGCCCUGUUGUUGGGAAAGAAAAGCAGCAGGUUAAUACCCCGCUGUUCUGACGGUACCCAAAGAAUAAGCACCGGCUAACUUCGUG
Molecule: ribosomal RNA, 492 nt
Filed under: uncultured bacterium
Lineage: Bacteria
Description: partial 16S ribosomal RNA
Rfam family: Bacterial small subunit ribosomal RNA
Source: RNAcentral